CGGAGCUGCCGGAGCUCGUCCCCGCCGCCGUGAGCCGCCGUGCGCCCCCGCCUCAGCUCGCCGGAAGUCCCUCGGCCCUUGUGCGCCUCAACCGGCGCCGGAUCCGCCAUUCCUCCGCCGAACCAGCUCCGGAUCUGCCCUCCUUCGCCCCCAACCAGCAGCAAUCAGAGAGUUGGAAAAUGGGUAUGCAGCGGACGUUUGGCUCGUUUUGGCCGCCUUCCCGAGCCCGGAUGCUCGGCCCGCUUUGAGGAAAGUCGAUCCUCGCGUCGUCCUCGUCGUUUUGGUUCGCUCGGCUCGCUAAUCCGGUCCCUGAUGGACGGAGCGGCCAGAUAGCUUUGGUUGGCCUUGAAGAGUUGGAGAAGUGAAGUCAUAAGGAUUGGAGAUCGUGUGCGUCUUGUAGGUCGUAAGAUAAUCUCUUUUUAAGAGCCAGUCUUUUGUAGACUUUUGGCCGUAGACCUCUGUUUGUAAUUUCGUUGAUUUACGAAAGUGUUAUGUUGUGAUUUUGUUUCCUGCUUUUCUAUCCCAAGUUAAAUGUUGUCA
Eucalyptus grandis is the source of this 540-nucleotide long non-coding RNA. RefSeq lists it as uncharacterized. The transcript is spliced from 2 exons. Lineage: Eukaryota; Viridiplantae; Streptophyta; Magnoliopsida; Myrtales; Myrtaceae. The record is from RefSeq and is a predicted model, not a curated record.